Molecule: ribosomal RNA, 399 nt
Filed under: Triticum aestivum (bread wheat)
Lineage: Eukaryota; Viridiplantae; Streptophyta; Magnoliopsida; Poales; Poaceae
Description: partial small subunit ribosomal RNA
Source: RNAcentral
AUGCGAUCUGAUGUAUUCAGGCGGCGAGCGCUCAAGGGACACCGCCGCCGGAGUGGCGAGCGGCGGGAUGCGCUAGGCGGGGAGCGAGCGGUGGGGUGCGCUAGGCUCGCGUUGGUACUUUCAGGCAUGUACAUCAAUAACGAACCAGAAAAUCAACAACGACUGAACCACCUCGGCCGCGCAUGCGCGUGCCCUGCUUAUCCAUCCGCAAAUGGGGUGCGGUGCUCUGGAUGUCCCACAACGACGACGGGCGCGCGCCGGAGAACAGGCCGGCGAUGCCUUCUUUCAUGCGCACCAACACACUACAUCAACACACACAGCCAGGAGGCAGCGAGUACACGUGCCGACGAAGGACGCGAGCACGGCGCCGAGGAGGGGCCUGGCGCGGUGUGUGCAUAG